This 434-nucleotide ribosomal RNA is filed under the name uncultured bacterium. Its description in RNAcentral is "partial 16S ribosomal RNA". It matches the Rfam family "Bacterial small subunit ribosomal RNA", at positions 29 to 507 of the family's 1533-position model. The record is from RNAcentral.
AGCGAACGCUGGCGGCAGGCCUAACACAUGCCAGUCGAACGAACCUUUCGGGGUUAGUGGCGGACGGGUGAGUAACACAUGGGAACGUGCCUUUAGGUUCGGAAUAACUCAGGGAAACUUGUGCUAAUACCGAAUGUGCCCUUCGGGGGAAAGAUUUAUCGCCUUUAGAGCGGCCCGCGUCUGAUUAGCUAGUUGGUUGAGGUAAUGGCUCACCAAGGCGACGAUCAGUAGCUGGUCUGAGAGGAUGAUCAGCCACAUUGGGACUGAGACACGGCCCAAACUCCUACGGGAGGCAGCAGUGGGGAAUCUUGCGCAAUGGGCGAAAGCCUGACGCAGCCAUGCCGCGUGAAUGAUGAAGGUCUUAGGAUUGUAAAAUUCUUUCACCGGGGACGAUAAUGACGGUACCCGGAGAAGAAGCCCCGGCUAACUUCGUG